RNAcentral lists this transfer RNA (59 nucleotides) under Salmo salar (Atlantic salmon). It matches the Rfam family "tRNA", at positions 8 to 63 of the family's 71-position model. Rfam says of the family: Transfer RNA (tRNA) molecules are approximately 80 nucleotides in length. The record is from Rfam by way of RNAcentral. Lineage: Eukaryota; Metazoa; Chordata; Actinopteri; Salmoniformes; Salmonidae.
UGGCUCAGUUGUUAAGAGCAUGGUGUUUGCAACGCCAAGGUUGUGGGUUCGAUUCCCAC